Molecule: non-coding RNA, 110 nt
Organism: Acanthosepion pharaonis
Lineage: Eukaryota; Metazoa; Mollusca; Cephalopoda; Sepiida; Sepiidae
Source: the annotation of a GenBank genome assembly
ACAGCCAUAUCAUGUUGAAACACGGGUUCUCAUCCAAUCAUCAAAGUUAAGCAAUAUUGAGCCUAUUCAGUACCUAGACGGGUAACUGCUUAGAAGUACCAGGUGCUGUG